RNAcentral lists this ribosomal RNA (856 nucleotides) under Bacillus sp. (in: firmicutes). RNAcentral's name for it is "bacterial SSU rRNA". It matches the Rfam family "Bacterial small subunit ribosomal RNA", at positions 19 to 857 of the family's 1533-position model. Lineage: Bacteria; Bacillati; Bacillota; Bacilli; Caryophanales; Bacillaceae. The record is from RNAcentral.
AUGGCUCAGGACGAACGCUGGCGGCGUGCCUAAUACAUGCAAGUCGAGCGAACAGAAGGGAGCUUGCUCCCGGAUGUUAGCGGCGGACGGGUGAGUAACACGUGGGUAACCUGCCUGUAAGACUGGGAUAACUCCGGGAAACCGGAGCUAAUACCGGAUAGUUCCUUGAACCGCAUGGUUCAAGGAUGAAAGACGGUUUCGGCUGUCACUUACAGAUGGACCCGCGGCGCAUUAGCUAGUUGGUGGGGUAAUGGCUCACCAAGGCGACGAUGCGUAGCCGACCUGAGAGGGUGAUCGGCCACACUGGGACUGAGACACGGCCCAGACUCCUACGGGAGGCAGCAGUAGGGAAUCUUCCGCAAUGGACGAAAGUCUGACGGAGCAACGCCGCGUGAGUGAUGAAGGUUUUCGGAUCGUAAAGCUCUGUUGUUAGGGAAGAACAAGUGCGAGAGUAACUGCUCGCACCUUGACGGUACCUAACCAGAAAGCCACGGCUAACUACGUGCCAGCAGCCGCGGUAAUACGUAGGUGGCAAGCGUUGUCCGGAAUUAUUGGGCGUAAAGGGCUCGCAGGCGGUUUCUUAAGUCUGAUGUGAAAGCCCCCGGCUCAACCGGGGAGGGUCAUUGGAAACUGGGAAACUUGAGUGCAGAAGAGGAGAGUGGAAUUCCACGUGUAGCGGUGAAAUGCGUAGAGAUGUGGAGGAACACCAGUGGCGAAGGCGACUCUCUGGUCUGUAACUGACGCUGAGGAGCGAAAGCGUGGGGAGCGAACAGGAUUAGAUACCCUGGUAGUCCACGCCGUAAACGAUGAGUGCUAAGUGUUAGGGGGUUUCCGCCCCUUAGUGCUGCAGCUAACG